Molecule: ribosomal RNA, 503 nt
Filed under: uncultured bacterium
Lineage: Bacteria
Description: partial 16S ribosomal RNA
Rfam family: Bacterial small subunit ribosomal RNA
Source: RNAcentral
AUUGAACGCUGGCGGCAGGCUUAACACAUGCAAGUCGAGCGGGGUGAUGGUGCUUGCACUAUCACUUAGCGGCGGACGGGUGAGUAAUGCUUAGGAAUCUGCCUAUUAGUGGGGGACAACAUCUCGAAAGGGAUGCUAAUACCGCAUACGUCCUACGGGAGAAAGCAGGGGAUCACUUGUGACCUUGCGCUAAUAGAUGAGCCUAAGUCGGAUUAGCUAGUUGGUGGGGUAAAGGCCUACCAAGGCGACGAUCUGUAGCGGGUCUGGGAGGAUGAGCCGUCACCCUGGGACGGAGACACGGCCCAGACGCCUCAGGGAGGCAGCAGUGGGGAAUAUUGGACAAUGGGGGGAACCCUGAUGCAGCCAUGCCGCGUGUGUGAAGAAGGCCUUAUGGUUGCAAAGCACUUUAAGCGAGGAGGAGGCUCUUUUGGUUAAUACCCAAGAUGAGUGGACGUUACUCGCAGAAUAAGCACCGGCUAACUCUGUGCCAGCCGCCGCCGUAA